RNAcentral lists this ribosomal RNA (227 nucleotides) under uncultured Lactobacillus sp. Its description in RNAcentral is "partial 16S ribosomal RNA". It matches the Rfam family "Bacterial small subunit ribosomal RNA", at positions 134 to 354 of the family's 1533-position model. The record is from RNAcentral. Lineage: Bacteria; Bacillati; Bacillota; Bacilli; Lactobacillales; Lactobacillaceae.
GAGAUCGGGAUAACACCUGGAAACAGAUGCUAAUACCGGAUACAACAGAUGAUGCCUAUCAACUGUUUAAAAGAUGGUUCUGCUAUCACUCUUGGAUGGACCUGCGGUGCAUUAGCUAGUUGGUAGGGUAACGGCCUACCAAGGCGAUGAUGCAUAGCCGAGUUGAGAGACUGAUCGGCCACAUUGGGACUGAGACACGGCCCAAACUCCUACGGGAGGCAGCAGAC